RNAcentral lists this ribosomal RNA (548 nucleotides) under uncultured Glomeromycotina. RNAcentral's name for it is "SSU rRNA". It matches the Rfam family "Eukaryotic small subunit ribosomal RNA", at positions 548 to 1098 of the family's 1831-position model. The record is from RNAcentral. Lineage: Eukaryota; Fungi; Glomeromycota.
UUGGAGGGCAAGUCUGGUGCCAGUAGCCGCGGUAAUUCCAGCUCCAAUAGCGUAUAUUAAAGUUGCUGCAGUUAAAAAGCUCGUAGUUGAAUUUCGGGACUAUCAUGUCGGUCGUGCCUCGGUACGUACUGGUAUUGUUGGUUUCUCCCUUCUGACGAACCAUGAUGUCAUUUAUUUGGUGUUGUGGGGAAUCAGGACUGUUACUUUGAAAAAAUUAGAGUGUUUAAAGCAGGCUCACGCUUGAAUACAUUAGCAUGGAAUAAUGAAAUAGGACGUUUGAUUCUAUUUUGUUGGUUUCUAGGAUCGACGUAAUGAUUAAUAGGGAUAGUUGGGGGCAUUAGUAUUCAAUUGUCAGAGGUGAAAUUCUUGGAUUUAUUGAAGACUAACUACUGCGAAAGCAUUUGCCAAGGAUGUUUUCAUUAAUCAAGAACGAAAGUUAGGGGAUCGAAGACGAUCAGAUACCGUCGUAGUCUUAACCAUAAACUAUGCCGACUAGGGAUCGGAUGAUGUUAAUUUUUUAAUGACUCAUUCGGCGCCUUACGGGAAAC